AGUGAACGCUGGCGGUAGGCCUAACACAUGCAAGUCGAACGGCAGCACAGUAAGAGCUUGCUCUUACGGGUGGCGAGUGGCGGACGGGUGAGGAAUACAUCGGAAUCUACUUUUUCGUGGGGGAUCACGUAGGGAAACUUACGCUAAUACCGCAUACGACCUACGGGUGAAAGCAGGGGAUCUUCGGACCUUGCGCGAUUGAAUGAGCCGAUGUCGGAUUAGCUAGUUGGCGGGGUAAAGGCCCACCAAGGCGACGAUCCGUAGCUGGUCUGAGAGGAUGAUCAGCCACCCUAGAACGGGGACAGGGUCCAGACUCCUGCGAGAGGCAGCAGUGGGGAAUAUUGGACAAUGGGCGCAAGCCUGAUCCAGCCAUCCCGCGUGUGUGAAGAAGGCCUUCGGGUUGUAAAGCCCUUUUGUUGGGAAAGAAAAGCAGCAGGUUAAUACCCCGCUGUUCUGACGGUACCCAAAGAAUAAGCACCGGCUAACUUCGUG
Molecule: ribosomal RNA, 492 nt
Filed under: uncultured bacterium
Lineage: Bacteria
Description: partial 16S ribosomal RNA
Rfam family: Bacterial small subunit ribosomal RNA
Source: RNAcentral